AAAGGGUUCUCGAAAAACUGAAAUCAAAGAAUAAUGAUAUAAAAUGAAAAUUUGAAAAUUAAUCUUGGACAGAUGGGGUCAUUCAUAUUGCGAAGCUAGAGGUAAAAUUCUUGGACUGUCGCACGAUGAACCACUGCGAAAGCAUAUGCCAAGAAUGCUUCCAUUAAUCAAGAACGAAAGUUAGAGGUUCGAAGGCGAUCAGAUACUAUCCUAGUUUAGGGGGGUUCUGCGCAGGUUGGCAUCCAUGUUGGUUGAUGAAGUUAGUGCU
Molecule: non-coding RNA, 268 nt
Filed under: Stegodyphus mimosarum
Lineage: Eukaryota; Metazoa; Arthropoda; Arachnida; Araneae; Eresidae
Description: Microsporidia small subunit ribosomal RNA
Rfam family: Eukaryotic small subunit ribosomal RNA
Source: Rfam by way of RNAcentral